UACGUAGGGUGCAAGCGUUGUCCGGAAUUAUUGGGCGUAAAGAGCUCGUAGGCGGUUUGUCGCGUCUGCUGUGAAAACUCGGGGCUCAACUCCGAGCUUGCAGUGGGUACGGGCAGACUAGAGUGCGGUAGGGGAGACUGGAAUUCCUGGUGUAGCGGUGGAAUGCGCAGAUAUCAGGAGGAACACCGGUGGCGAAGGCGGCGACCUGGGUCGAGACUGACGCUGAGGCGCGAAAGCGUGGGGAGCAAACAGG
RNAcentral lists this ribosomal RNA (253 nucleotides) under uncultured bacterium. RNAcentral describes it as "partial 16S ribosomal RNA". It matches the Rfam family "Bacterial small subunit ribosomal RNA", at positions 524 to 776 of the family's 1533-position model. The record is from RNAcentral.